RNAcentral lists this ribosomal RNA (460 nucleotides) under uncultured bacterium. RNAcentral describes it as "partial 16S ribosomal RNA". It matches the Rfam family "Bacterial small subunit ribosomal RNA", at positions 338 to 795 of the family's 1533-position model. The record is from RNAcentral.
CCUACGGGUGGCAGCAGUGAGGAAUAUUGGUCAAUGGGCGCGAGCCUGAACCAGCCAAGUCGCGUGAGGGAAGACGGUCCUAUGGAUUGUAAACCUCUUUUGUCGGGGAGCAAAAGACGCCACGCGUGGCGUUCCGAGAGUACCCGAAGAAAAAGCAUCGGCUAACUCCGUGCCAGCAGCCGCGGUAAUACGUAGGUGGCAAGCGUUGUCCGGAUUUACUGGGUGUAAAGGGCGUGCAGCCGGGAGGACAAGUCAGAUGUGAAAUCCCGCGGCUCAACCGCGGAACUGCAUUUGAAACUGUUUUUCUUGAGUACCGGAGAGGUCAUCGGAAUGCCUUGUGUAGCGGUGAAAUGCGUAGAUAUAAGGAAGAACACCAGUGGCGAAGGCGGAUGACUGGACGGCAACUGACGGUGAGGCGCGAAAGCGUGGGGAGCAAACAGGAUUAGAUACCCGAGUAGUC